AGUCGAGCGGUAGAGAGGUGCUUGCACCUCUUGAGAGCGGCGGACGGGUGAGUAAAGCCUAGGAAUCUGCCUGGUAGUGGGGGAUAACGCUCGGAAACGGACGCUAAUACCGCAUACGUCCUACGGGAGAAAGCAGGGGACCUUCGGGCCUUGCGCUAUCAGAUGAGCCUAGGUCGGAUUAGCUAGUUGGUGAGGUAAUGGCUCACCAAGGCGACGAUCCGUAACUGGUCUGAGAGGAUGAUCAGUCACACUGGAACUGAGACACGGUCCAGACUCCUACGGGAGGCAGCAGUGGGGAAUAUUGGACAAUGGGCGAAAGCCUGAUCCAGCCAUGCCGCGUGUGUGAAGAAGGUCUUCGGAUUGUAAAGCACUUUAAGUUGGGAGGAAGGGCAUUAACCUAAUACGUUAGUGUUUUGACGUUACCGACAGAAUAAGCACCGGCUAACUCUGUGCCAGCAGCCGCGGUAAUACAGAGGGUGCAAGCGUUAAUCGGAAUUACUGGGCGUAAAGCGCGCGUAGGUGGUUCGUUAAGUUGGAUGUGAAAUCCCCGGGCUCAACCUGGGAACUGCAUUCAAAACUGUCGAGCUAGAGUAUGGUAGAGGGUGGUGGAAUUUCCUGUGUAGCGGUGAAAUGCGUAGAUAUAGGAAGGAACACCAGUGGCGAAGGCGACCACCUGGACUGAUACUGACACUGAGGUGCGAAAGCGUGGGGAGCAAACAGGAUUAGAUACCCUGGUAGUCCACGCCGUAAACGAUGUCAACUAGCCGUUGGGGAGCCUUGAGCUCUUAGUGGCGCAGCUAACGCAUUAAGUUGACCGCCUGGGGGAGUACGGCCGCAAGGKUUAAACUCAAAUGAAUUGACGGGGGCCCGC
Molecule: ribosomal RNA, 871 nt
Filed under: Pseudomonas sp. SLO-52.2
Lineage: Bacteria; Pseudomonadati; Pseudomonadota; Gammaproteobacteria; Pseudomonadales; Pseudomonadaceae
Description: bacterial SSU rRNA
Rfam family: Bacterial small subunit ribosomal RNA
Source: RNAcentral